GUGGGGAAUAUUGGACAAUGGGGGGAACCCUGAUCCAGCCAUGCCGCGUGUGUGAAGAAGGCCUUUUGGUUGUAAAGCACUUUAAGCGAGGAGGAGGCUACCGAGAUUAAUACUCUUGGAUAGUGGACGUUACUCGCAGAAUAAGCACCGGCUAACUCUGUGCCAGCAGCCGCGGUAAUACAGAGGGUGCAAGCGUUAAUCGGAUUUACUGGGCGUAAAGCGCGCGUAGGUGGCCAAUUAAGUCAAAUGUGAAAUCCCCGAGCUUAACUUGGGAAUUGCAUUCGAUACUGGUUGGCUAGAGUAUGGGAGAGGAUGGUAGAAUUCCAGGUGUAGCGGUGAAAUGCGUAGAGAUCUGGAGGAAUACCGAUGGCGAAGGCAGCCAUCUGGCCUAAUACUGACACUGAGGCACGAAAGCGUGGGGAGCAAACAGGAUUAGAAACCCUAGUAGUCC
RNAcentral lists this ribosomal RNA (451 nucleotides) under uncultured bacterium. RNAcentral's name for it is "partial 16S ribosomal RNA". It matches the Rfam family "Bacterial small subunit ribosomal RNA", at positions 354 to 796 of the family's 1533-position model. The record is from RNAcentral.